This 253-nucleotide ribosomal RNA is filed under the name uncultured bacterium. RNAcentral's name for it is "partial 16S ribosomal RNA". It matches the Rfam family "Bacterial small subunit ribosomal RNA", at positions 524 to 776 of the family's 1533-position model. The record is from RNAcentral.
GACAGAGGGUGCAAACGUUGUUCGGAAUUACUGGGCGUAAAGCGCGUGUAGGCGGCUAAGUAAGUCGGGCGUGAAAUCCCACGGCUCAACCGUGGAAGUGCACUCGAAACUGCAUAGCUAGAGUCCUGGAGAGGAAGGUGGAAUGCUUGGUGUAGAGGUGAAAUUCGUAGAUAUCAGGAGGAACACCGGUGGCGAAGGCGGUGGUCUGGGCCGGCACUGACGCUGAGGAGCGAAAGCGUGGGGAGCGAACAGG